This 403-nucleotide ribosomal RNA is filed under the name Fusobacteriota bacterium. RNAcentral describes it as "Fusobacteria bacterium partial 16S ribosomal RNA". It matches the Rfam family "Bacterial small subunit ribosomal RNA", at positions 355 to 776 of the family's 1533-position model. Lineage: Bacteria; Fusobacteriati; Fusobacteriota. The record is from RNAcentral.
UGGGGAAUAUUGCACAAUGGAGGGAACUCUGAUGCAGCGACGCCGCGUGAACGAAGAAGGCUUUCGAGUCGUAAAGUUCUUUUAUAUGGGAAGAUAAUGACGGUACCAUAAGAAAAAGCCCCGGCUAACUACGUGCCAGCAGCCGCGGUAAUACGUAGGGGGCUAGCGUUGUCCGGAAUCACUGGGCGUAAAGGGUUCGCAGGCGGAAAUGCAAGUCAGGUGUAAAAGGCAGUAGCUUAACUACUGUAAGCAUUUGAAACUGCAUAUCUUGAGAAGAGUAGAGGUAAGUGGAAUUUUUAGUGUAGCGGUGAAAUGCGUAGAUAUUAAAAAGAAUACCGGUGGCGAAGGCGACUUACUGGGCUCACUCUGACGCUGAGGAACGAAAGCGUGGGUAGCAAACAGG